This 907-nucleotide ribosomal RNA is filed under the name uncultured bacterium. RNAcentral describes it as "bacterial SSU rRNA". It matches the Rfam family "Bacterial small subunit ribosomal RNA", at positions 544 to 1451 of the family's 1533-position model. The record is from RNAcentral.
UCCGGAUUUAUUGGGCGUAAAGCGAGCGCAGGCGGUUAGAUAAGUNUGAAGUUAAAGGCUGUGGCUUNACCAUAGUACGCUUUGGAAACUGUUUAACUUGAGUGCAGAAGGGGAGAGUGGAAUUCCAUGUGUAGCGGUGAAANGCGUAGAUAUAUGGAGGAACACCGGUGGCGAAAGCGGCUNUCUGGUCUGUAACUGACGCUGAGGCUNGAAAGCGUGGGGAGCGAACAGGAUUAGAUACCCUGGUAGUNCACGCCGUAAACGAUGAGUGCUAGGUGUUAGGCCCUUUCCGGGGCUUAGUGCCGCAGCUAACGCAUUAAGCACUCCGCCUGGGGAGUACGACCGCAAGGUUGAAACUCAAAGGAAUUGACGGGGGCCCGCACAAGCGGUGGAGCAUGUGGUUUAAUUCGAAGCAACGCGAAGAACCUUACCAGGUCUUGACAUCCCGAUGCCCGCUCUAGAGAUAGAGUUUUACUUCGGUACAUCGGUGACAGGUGGUGCAUGGUUGUCGUCAGCUCGUGUUGUGAGAUGUUGGGUUAAGUCCCGCAACGAGCGCAACCCUUAUUGUUAGUUGCCAUCAUUCAGUUGGGCACUCUAGCGAGACUGCCGGUAAUAAACCGGAGGAAGGUGGGGAUGACGUCAAAUCAUCAUGCCCCUUAUGACCUGGGCUACACACGUGCUACAAUGGCUGGUACAACGAGUCGCAAGUCGGUGACAGCAAGCUAAUCUCUUAAAGCCAGUCUCAGUUCGGAUUGUAGGCUGCAACUCGCCUACAUGAAGUCGGAAUCGCUAGUAAUCGCGGAUCAGCACGCCGCGGUGAAUACGUUCCCGGGCCUUGUACACACCGCCCGUCACACCACGAGAGUUUGUAACACCCGAAGUCGGUGAGGUANCCUUUUAGGAGCCA